AUGUUUGAUUCGAUAACUGGGGGUUUCGUCGCUUUCUGUGGCUCGGGAGUGUUUUUCUACGAAUUUUACGUUUCAUGUAAUGACUUUAAAACAUCGCCAGCUUUUUUUUAUUAUUCUUUUUUUUUUUUUUUACAAACAGAUGGGCCUUUGGCCUGGCUCUUAGGCACGUUGGACAGAGUGUCCAGAAUGCGCUUAGACGCUCUGCACCGUGUUCCACAUACCUCCACCCUGUCCAUGGCUCUUGAACCUUUGUUAGACCAAAGUGAAAAAGGAAAUGUGGGGGAAAGUAAACAACUUGUGUCUUUUUUUUCUCUGUACUCUUUAAACAGGCUUUCUUCUGUGGUCAUUAUUUGGGCAAAAUUACUGCGGCGAGCGGACAAGGACAGAGGGUGGGAGGAGGGAGGAGAAGGAGGGUUACCCAAAAAGAGUGGGGGUAAAGAACCUGAUUGCUUUAAUCUCAGUGCUCGCGGCGCACCCUUUUCAUAAAGCUCUUUGGCCGUGUGAUUCAGACCCAGGCCCCAGUGUUCUGCGCCCCGCUAUUGUUCUCACAUGAAAAUCAAUUCCCUUGAAGACCCUCCUUAAUCCCGUUUUUGGCGUCAACAAUGGCCACUUGUGCACGGCCCUGAUAGACUAAGAGCUGGGAUGAUGCGGCUGUCUGCUCUGAUUCCAGCCCAUUCAGGUAAUGGCGGCCUGCGUCACUUUGUAGUGCCAAGUGCAGGACUCGACAGGAAGACGUUUGCGAUCAUAAUUUCCUGCAGAGCAGAGGCCCAGGCACCCUACACACCCACAAGACUUUUAAUUAGGGCAGACAACCACAGAGAUUAGAGAUCAGCCUGUAACAAUGACUGUCCCUUUGAACGGGCCUCAGCCUCUGUCCCCACUGAGCCCAUAUGGAGCACAUAGUGCUAUGAUCACGCUAAUAACGAUCACCUCAGCAAUAGCACACAGCAGUGGUCUCCACACUGGAGCGCAUGUUCUGCAGAUCGUGCUGUCCAGCAACUCGCGUGCAUCUGCAGGAUUCUUUGAAUGUACAGUAAAUGCAAGAUACGAGAAUAGUAAGGUUGCUGCCAG
Molecule: long non-coding RNA, 1071 nt
Filed under: Betta splendens (Siamese fighting fish)
Lineage: Eukaryota; Metazoa; Chordata; Actinopteri; Anabantiformes; Osphronemidae
Description: lncRNA (ENSBSLG00000015304.1)
Source: RNAcentral